This is a long non-coding RNA of Astyanax mexicanus (Mexican tetra), 252 nucleotides long. RefSeq lists it as uncharacterized. The transcript is spliced from 3 exons. NCBI's taxonomy places the organism in Eukaryota, Metazoa, Chordata, Actinopteri, Characiformes, Acestrorhamphidae. The record is from RefSeq and is a predicted model, not a curated record.
UAGCAGCUGAACAUCCGCAGUGCUAUUUAAACUCGGGUCCUAAAAGACACAUUACUGUUGGACUGUCAGAGAGAGCAGACCACUUAUCUCUGGAAAAAUGAUCAUUUUUAUCAUCAUCGGCGUCGUUGCAGUCAUCAUUCUGAUAUCCGUAUGUGUGUGCUGUGCUCGCAAGAAAUCUAGGAGUCAAGACCGUGGACAUGCUGACAAUCAUGAUCACUGUACUAACAGAGAAAUGCCGCAGAUUGUUCCUGU